RNAcentral lists this ribosomal RNA (64 nucleotides) under Tetranychus urticae (two-spotted spider mite). Its description in RNAcentral is "partial 28S ribosomal RNA". Lineage: Eukaryota; Metazoa; Arthropoda; Arachnida; Trombidiformes; Tetranychidae. The record is from RNAcentral.
AUCUCAGAUCAGGUGAGGUUACCCGCCGAAUUUAAGCAUAUCACUAAGCGGGAGAAAAAAAGAA